GGAAGGAUGGGAGAGUGGUUUAAUCCAGGCGUCUCGAAAACGCCCAGGCUGAAAGGCCUCGCAGGUUCAAAUCCUGCUCCUUCCG
RNAcentral lists this transfer RNA (85 nucleotides) under Candidatus Omnitrophota bacterium. RNAcentral describes it as "tRNA-Ser". It matches the Rfam family "tRNA". From Rfam's summary of the family: Transfer RNA (tRNA) molecules are approximately 80 nucleotides in length. Their secondary structure includes four short double-helical elements and three loops (D, anti-codon, and T loops). The record is from RNAcentral. Lineage: Bacteria; Pseudomonadati; Candidatus Omnitrophota.